Bos taurus (domestic cattle) is the source of this 437-nucleotide long non-coding RNA. NCBI's taxonomy places the organism in Eukaryota, Metazoa, Chordata, Mammalia, Artiodactyla, Bovidae. The record is from Ensembl.
GUUCAGUAACUUUUGGCAGGCUGACCAAAACCCUCCCCUGCCUUCCCGCUGCUUUUCAUGCAACCCUGUUAAUGACCACCAGCUGUGGGGCCACUCCUCUGACCACUUUGCCUGGCCUCCUGGGUCUUCAGUGCUUUCAGGGCUAAGGGGCCUCUAUAGUCUCCUGCUCUCUGGCUUCCCCCUGCCUCAAGGAUCUCCACCUCCCAGAGCAUUGCCAAUUCAGCAGGAGCUUCCCUGGGUCAUCCCACUGAAUUUGAAAUCACCGAUUCAAUGGACAUGAGUUUGAGCAAACUCUGGGAGAUGGUGAAGGACAGGAAAGUCUGGCGUGUUGCAGUCCAUGGGGUUGCAAAGAGUUGGACACGACUUAGUAACUGAACAACAACUACCUCAUGGAACUUUAUUAUUGGAAGAGCUUGUGGAGAUAAUUCAGUGUAUAU